This 77-nucleotide ribosomal RNA is filed under the name Legionella pneumophila subsp. fraseri. RNAcentral's name for it is "partial 23S ribosomal RNA". The record is from RNAcentral. Lineage: Bacteria; Pseudomonadati; Pseudomonadota; Gammaproteobacteria; Legionellales; Legionellaceae.
GAAGCGCAGUAAUGUGUGAAGCUAACUUGUACUAAUUGGCUGAUUGUCUUGACCAUAUAAUCUGAGUGACUUCAGAA